RNAcentral lists this ribosomal RNA (810 nucleotides) under uncultured archaeon. RNAcentral describes it as "bacterial SSU rRNA". It matches the Rfam family "Archaeal small subunit ribosomal RNA", at positions 85 to 879 of the family's 1478-position model. The record is from RNAcentral.
ACUGCUCAGUAACACGUGGCUAACCUGCCCUCGGGACGAGAACAUCCCCGGGAAACUGGGGCUAAUUCUCGAUAGGUGAAGACUCCUGGAAUGGAUUUUCGCCCAAAAGACGUUUAGAUCAUGCUUCUAGACGUUGCCCGAGGAUGGGGCCGCGGCCGAUCAGGCUGUUGGUGAGGUAACGGCUCACCAAACCUUUGACCGGUUCGGGCCGUGGGAGCGGUGGCCCGGAGAUGGGCACUGAGACAAGGGCCCAGGCCCUACGGGGCGCAGCAGUCGCGAAAACUUCGCAAUAAGCGAAAGCUUGACGGGGCCAUCCCGAGUGCCAUCUGCUGAGGAUGGCUUUUACCCAGUAUAGAUAGCUGGGGGAAUAAGGAGAGGGCAAGUCUGGUGUCAGCCGCCGCGGUAAUACCAGCUCUCCGAGUUGUGGGGACGUUUAUUGAGCCUGAAGCAUCCGUAGCCGGCUGUGCAAGUCCUCUGUUAAAUCCAGCGACUAAUCGUUGGCCUGCGGGGGAUACUGCUCGGCUAGGGGGCGGGAGAGGCCGUCGGUAUUCUUGGGGUAGGGGUGAAAUCCUAUAAUCCCAGGAGGACCACCAGUGGCGAAGGCUGUCGGCUAGAACGCGCUCGACGGUGAGGGAUGAAAGCUGGGGGAGCGAACCGGAUUAGAUACCCGGGUAGUCCCAGCUGUAAACGAUGCAGGCUAGGUGUUAGGGCGGCUACGUGCCGCUCUAGUGCCGCAGGGAAGCUGUUAAGCCUGCCGCUUGGGGAGUACGGCCGCAAGGCUGAAACUUAAAGGAAUUGGCGGGGGAGCAC